CAGCGCCGCGGUAAAACGUAGGGUGCAAGCGUUAAUCGGAAUUACUGGGCGUAAAGCGUGCGCAGGCGGUUAUAUAAGACAGAUGUGAAAUCCCCGGGCUCAACCUGGGAACUGCAUUUGUGACUGUAUAGCUAGAGUACGGCAGAGGGGGAUGGAAUUCCGCGUGUAGCAGUGAAAUGCGUAGAUAUUGGGAAGAACACCAGUGGCGAAGGCGGCUCACUGGACCGACACUGACGCUGAGGCGCGAAAGCGUGGGGAGCAAACAGGAUUAGAUACCCCAGUAGUCCCUGUCUCUUAUACA
Molecule: ribosomal RNA, 301 nt
Filed under: uncultured bacterium
Lineage: Bacteria
Description: partial 16S ribosomal RNA
Rfam family: Bacterial small subunit ribosomal RNA
Source: RNAcentral